This 470-nucleotide ribosomal RNA is filed under the name Flavobacterium sp. 01WB04.4-94. RNAcentral describes it as "bacterial SSU rRNA". It matches the Rfam family "Bacterial small subunit ribosomal RNA", at positions 1 to 480 of the family's 1533-position model. Lineage: Bacteria; Pseudomonadati; Bacteroidota; Flavobacteriia; Flavobacteriales; Flavobacteriaceae. The record is from RNAcentral.
UGAGCUUGAUCCUGGCUCAGGAUGAACGCUAGCGGCAGGCUUAACACAUGCAAGUCGAGGGGUAUUUAUCUUCGGAUAGAGAGACCGGCGCACGGGUGCGUAACGCGUAUGCAAUCUACCUUUUACAGAGGGAUAGCCCAGAGAAAUUUGGAUUAAUACCUCAUAGUAUAUAGACUCGGCAUCGAGAUUAUAUUAAAGUCACAACGGUAAAAGAUGAGCAUGCGUCCCAUUAGCUAGUUGGUAAGGUAACGGCUUACCAAGGCUACGAUGGGUAGGGGUCCUGAGAGGGAGAUCCCCCACACUGGUACUGAGACACGGACCAGACUCCUACGGGAGGCAGCAGUGAGGAAUAUUGGACAAUGGGCGCAAGCCUGAUCCAGCCAUGCCGCGUGCAGGAUGACGGUCCUAUGGAUUGUAAACUGCUUUUAUACGAGAAGAAACAUCCCGACGUGUCGGGACUGACGGUAUCG